UCCUCACCACACUGACGGCUCUGAAA
This 26-nucleotide non-coding RNA is filed under the name Homo sapiens (human). Lineage: Eukaryota; Metazoa; Chordata; Mammalia; Primates; Hominidae. The record is from RNAcentral.